Molecule: transfer RNA, 76 nt
Filed under: Zingiber officinale
Lineage: Eukaryota; Viridiplantae; Streptophyta; Magnoliopsida; Zingiberales; Zingiberaceae
Rfam family: tRNA
About the family: Transfer RNA (tRNA) molecules are approximately 80 nucleotides in length.
Source: Rfam by way of RNAcentral
ACCCUAUUAGCUCAGUUGGUUCUAGAGCGUCAUGCUAAUAACGUAAAUGUAGCAGGCUCGAAACCUGUAUGGGCCA